UUAUUAUUUGGCUUGUUUUUAUAUAUUGUGUUUUAUUUUUGUUUGUUGUCUGUUCAGCAGGUUCUCCUGCCAGUGAUCAGGUCGACCAGACUCCAGCCAACAUUUACACAAAAGGAGAAGAUGCUAAAAUCCACUGCUCACACAGUAUUCAAAGCUAUGAAACAAUCCUCUGGUACAAGCAGUCAGAGAAACAACUACAACUGCUUGGAUACAUGAAUUACGAUAAGAGUUAUCCAGAGGCUGGAGUGAACGUAACGAUGGAUGGGGGUGCUGAAAAAAAUCAGAACUGCAUAUUAACGAUUAAGGAUAUCAAAGCGAGCUGCAGUGGAGUUUACUUCUGUGCAUCUAGGUACCACAGUGCUGCACAUCACUGCACCUCAAUACAAAAACCAAAGUUGUUGGGUUUUUAAAAAAAAAAAAAAUAACAACAACAAAAAACAACUUCUUUAUUGCAGUUCGCAGCACCUUACACCUGGAAUCAGCCAUUAUCAUGAAUGUGGUCUCACAAAGAUCAAAUAUAGAAGGUUUGCUAUAAGCAGAAAUGCAACAUUUGAACUGCCACAUCAUUUUUAAAAAGCAGCCUCUAUAUAUCUAUAAAUACCUAUGUAUAUGUUAAAAAUAUCUGUAGUGUUUAAUUUCAAAAUGAUCACUGUGAUGGCCUUUUUCGUGUCUUGGCCAUUGAAGAGUAUGCCAUUUCUUUGCCUUGAGAAAUUCUUGGGUUGUUUCUGCAGUAUGCUGUGGGUCAUCAUUCAUUUGCAUUUUCAACCAAGAGAAAAGCUCAGUACACAUCACAGUUUAUCCUGCUCCUCUAUAAGCAAUGCUUCACUUCCACUGCAGUGCGCCAGCUCCAGCGGCAUUCAUUAAUGCCAAUGGUGACUCCGCCAUGUUUAUAGAUCAUGAUAUGCUUCAGAUCAAAAGUUGUCUCCUUCAUCGCUCUCUCCUUCUCUUCGCUCUUUCCAUCAUUCUGGUAAAAAUUAAUCUUGGUUUCAAAUGUCCAAACAAUGCUUUUUCUGAACUGUACAGUCUCUAUUUUCUGGAAAAGUCUGACCUUUCAGAUUAUCCCCUUUUCUGUGGUCUUUUGGCCUAUUUGUGUUGUGGAGCAG
Astatotilapia calliptera (eastern happy) is the source of this 1103-nucleotide long non-coding RNA. The record is from Ensembl. NCBI's taxonomy places the organism in Eukaryota, Metazoa, Chordata, Actinopteri, Cichliformes, Cichlidae.